RNAcentral lists this ribosomal RNA (632 nucleotides) under Ornithobacterium rhinotracheale. RNAcentral's name for it is "bacterial SSU rRNA". It matches the Rfam family "Bacterial small subunit ribosomal RNA", at positions 138 to 769 of the family's 1533-position model. The record is from RNAcentral. Lineage: Bacteria; Pseudomonadati; Bacteroidota; Flavobacteriia; Flavobacteriales; Weeksellaceae.
GGAGGAUAGCCCGGGGAAACUCGGAUUAAUACUCCAUAUGAUUUUGAUUGGCAUCAAUUAAGAUUGAAAGAUUUAUUGGAUAAGGAUAGGCAUGCGUCAGAUUAGUUAGUUGGUAGUGUAAUGGACUACCAAGGCGAUGAUCUGUAGGGGGCCUGAGAGGGUGAACCCCCACACUGGUACUGAGACACGGACCAGACUCCUACGGGAGGCAGCAGUGAGGAAUAUUGGACAAUGGAGGGAACUCUGAUCCAGCCAUCCCGCGUGCAGGAAGACGGCCCUAUGGGUUGUAAACUGCUUUUGUAUGGGGAUAAAUCUACUUACGUGUAGGUAGUUGAAGGUACCAUACGAAUAAGCAUCGGCUAACUCCGUGCCAGCAGCCGCGGUAAUACGGAGGAUGCAAGCGUUAUCCGGAUUCAUUGGGUUUAAAGGGUCCGUAGGCGGGCUAAUAAGUCAGUGGUGAAAUUUUGUCGCUUAACGAUAAAACUGCCAUUGAUACUGUUAGUCUUGAGUGAUAUUGAAGUAGCUGGAAUGUGUAGUGUAGCGGUGAAAUGCAUAGAUAUUACACAGAACACCGAUUGCGAAGGCAGGUUACUAAGUAUUAACUGACGCUGAAGGACGAAAGCGUGGGGAGC